UCAAGGGGAAAAGCACGUCGAGCUAGCGUCAUUAAUGAUUUGAUUGAUAACAGCUGGGCUGGUUGUAUCGUGUCGCUACUGACAUCGAAGUUUAGUCUACUAAGGACAUUCUGUGUGGUACAGUUCGUAAUAUGGCAUGGAUAUCCUUUAUUUAGUAGUAUUGCUUUUUUUUCUUCUUUAAAAAAACAAUAGACUACUAAGGAUAUGAAACACAACCACAGUAGGCCUACAGAUGGGCUAUUUGGCCGAUGAAACGGAAGAGAGCUGUGCCAGUUGUGAGCGCACAGCGGAGGCAAAGAAAAGAAACUCAGUCAGGCAGCAGUGGGAGCGGGACUCGUUCGGGGCAAAUAUACAGCACAAACGCAACACGGAGGUGCAGAAACAGAACAGUAUCCAAUGGUGCCAUGGCCUCAAGGAGCCAGAGCAGAGUGGGAUUCAGAGCGCUACCAGUCGGUGUGGCUUCUUCCACCCUCCAGCUCCUUGUAAUUAUCUGUGGUUGCUUACUUGAUGCCAAGGGUCAAGCUGCUGAGACAGAACACCGGCCACUGUUAUCACUGUCAUUGGUACAGAGGGGAAGUCAUGCAUCCCAACCUUGACUCUUCCCACCACCAACCCUCAGAGCUCUAAUUGGUCACAACAAUUGAACACACCUGUGGGGGCCUGCCGGAGAAUAUUGCAUGAUACGUGUUAAAAACAGUUACAUUUUUGGAAAUAUUCUGUUUGCAAACACAUUAACUGAAAACAUGAUGAAUAACCGUAAGUAGUAUUCUACUGAGACUUAAAAAUAAAACACGAUUAGAUAUUCAAAUCUGUAAAAUGUGUAUUUGACAUGAGAAUAUUAACUAUAGGGUGUUCCUCUACAUUUUCUUGGUUCAUGUGCACAAUUUUUUAUUCAGUAUUAACAAUGUUUAAUGUCAUGUCAGAAGUCUCAAUCUACUUGAGAGCUCUUUAAAAAUCACAUAUUGGACCUCAAGUUUUGUUAAACCAACACUGUAACAAAACAACAUUGUCUAUGCAGGAAAUAUAACAAUGACCAGAGUACAACACAAUUCUUUAAUUGCUUUCAGAAAUUUCAGAAAAUUGGAAAUCAGAAAUCCCACCGCUGGGAAAUGAACAUUGUUAUAAAUAAAAUAGGUAAAUACGAAUGUUAUAGUUAUUAUAUUAAA
Long non-coding RNA from Eleginops maclovinus (Patagonian blennie), 1166 nucleotides. RefSeq lists it as uncharacterized. The transcript has 4 exons. The record is from RefSeq and is a predicted model, not a curated record. Lineage: Eukaryota; Metazoa; Chordata; Actinopteri; Perciformes; Eleginopidae.